GACGCAGCCGUGUCUGGUGCCGUACAAGGGACGCCGGCGCAGGAUGCUGUCGUCGUCCGUUCCUAACGCUGCUGAGUUGAGCUGCAGGUGUUCCUUGAUGCUACAUAUGUCAGUUUCUUUUGGCAUGAUGUACAUCUGGUGGUCGUCAAGUCAAGGAACCUUCUCUUCUUGCUGCGACAAUCCUCCUCCCGCUGCUCUGCUCUGCUCAACAGCUAGCGUGCAUGGCUAAAACAAAGGUAAGACUCUGGCCGGUCGGUGUGUUGAGCCAUGGUGGUCUGUUUGUGGGGGUCAUCAACAUUGGUAUAGGUUAGCAUGUGCCCUUCAAUCAGUGCACGGUGAUGAAACGCUUCAUUUGAUGAUGACGACUGGUUCCAGAUCUGCACCUCUUGUUUGUUAAUUUGGCUCAUGUAUGUUGUCGUGUCUGCGAAAGAUGCAACCUGAGUGCUUUUCUUGUCCUUAAGUUUAAUAAACGAGGAACAACAUUCAGAUCGUGCUCCAUGGCACGCAUCAGCUAUUGUGUUUGUAAUGUUUGAGUUUGCUCCAUCAUCGA
Non-coding RNA from Triticum urartu, 550 nucleotides. The record is from RefSeq and is a predicted model, not a curated record. Lineage: Eukaryota; Viridiplantae; Streptophyta; Magnoliopsida; Poales; Poaceae.